RNAcentral lists this ribosomal RNA (460 nucleotides) under uncultured bacterium. RNAcentral describes it as "partial 16S ribosomal RNA". It matches the Rfam family "Bacterial small subunit ribosomal RNA", at positions 338 to 795 of the family's 1533-position model. The record is from RNAcentral.
CCUACGCGCGGCAGCAGUGAGGAAUAUUGGUCAAUGGGCGCGAGCCUGAACCAGCCAAGUAGCGUGAAGGAUGACUGCCCUACGGGUUGUAAACUUCUUUUAUACAGGUAUAAAGUGAGGCACGUGUGCCUUUUUGUAUGUACUUUAUGAAUAAGGAUCGGCUAACUCCGUGCCAUCAGCCGCGGUACUACGGAGGAUCCGAGCGUUAUCCGGAUUUAUUGGGUUUAAAGGGAGCGUAGAUGGGUUGUUAAGUCAGUUGUGAAAGUGUGCGGCUCAACCGUAAAAUUGCAAUUGAUACUGGCAGUCUUGAGUACAGUUGAGGUAGGCGGAAUUCGUGGUGUAGCGGUGAAAUGCUUAGAUAUCACGAAGAACGCCGAUUGCGAAGGCAGCUUACUAAACUGCCACUGACAUUGAUGCUCGAAAGUGUGGGUAUCAAACAGGAUGAGAUACCCGUGUAGUC